UUGAACGCUGGCGGCAUGCCUUACAUAUGCCAGUCGAACGGUAACGGGCCUUCGGGUGCCGACGAGUGGCGAACGGGUGAGUAAUACAUCGGAACGUGCCCGAUCGUGGGGGAUAACGAGGCGAAAGCUUUGCUAAUACCGCAUACGAUCUACGGAUGAAAGCAGGGGACCGCAAGGCCUUGCGCGGACGGAGCGGCCGAUGGCAGAUUAGGUAGUUGGUGGGAUAAAAGCUUACCAAGCCGACGAUCUGUAGCUGGUCUGAGAGGAUGAUCAGCCACACUGGGACUGAGACACGGCCCAGACUCCUACGGGAGGCAGCAGUGGGGAAUUUUGGACAAUGGGCGCAAGCCUGAUCCAGCCAUGCCGCGUGCAGGAUGAAGGCCUUCGGGUUGUAAACUGCUUUUGUACGGAACGAAAAGCCUUCUUUUAAUACAGGAGGGUCAUGACGGUACCGUAAGAAUAAGCACCGGCUAACUACGUG
Molecule: ribosomal RNA, 481 nt
Filed under: uncultured bacterium
Lineage: Bacteria
Description: partial 16S ribosomal RNA
Rfam family: Bacterial small subunit ribosomal RNA
Source: RNAcentral